Molecule: ribosomal RNA, 253 nt
Filed under: uncultured bacterium
Lineage: Bacteria
Description: partial 16S ribosomal RNA
Rfam family: Bacterial small subunit ribosomal RNA
Source: RNAcentral
UACGAAGGGGGCUAGCGUUGUUCGGAAUCACUGGGCGUAAAGCGCACGUAGGCGGAUUGUUAAGUCAGGGGUGAAAUCCCGAGGCUCAACUCCAGAACUGCCUUUGAUACUGAAGAUCUUGAGUCCGGGAGAGGUGAGUGGAACUGCGAGUGUAGAGGUGAAAUUCGUAGAUAUUCGGAGGAACACCAGUGGCGAAGGCGGCUCACUGGUCCGGUACUGACGCUGAGGUGCGAAAGCGUGGGGAGCAAACAGG